GGACAGGUGGCCGAGCGGUCGAAGGCGCUCCCCUGCUAAGGGAGUAGGCGGGAAACUGCCUCGAGGGUUCGAAUCCCUUCCUGUCCGCCA
RNAcentral lists this transfer RNA (90 nucleotides) under Paracoccaceae bacterium. RNAcentral describes it as "Rhodobacteraceae bacterium tRNA-Ser". It matches the Rfam family "tRNA". Rfam says of the family: Transfer RNA (tRNA) molecules are approximately 80 nucleotides in length. RNAcentral also lists the same sequence under 1 other name. The record is from RNAcentral. Lineage: Bacteria; Pseudomonadati; Pseudomonadota; Alphaproteobacteria; Rhodobacterales; Paracoccaceae.